Molecule: ribosomal RNA, 610 nt
Filed under: uncultured Legionella sp.
Lineage: Bacteria; Pseudomonadati; Pseudomonadota; Gammaproteobacteria; Legionellales; Legionellaceae
Description: bacterial SSU rRNA
Rfam family: Bacterial small subunit ribosomal RNA
Source: RNAcentral
GAUUAGCCUGCGUCCGAUUAGCUAGUUGGUGGGGUAAGGGCCUACCAAGGCGACGAUCGGUAGCUGGUCUGAGAGGAUGACCAGCCACACUGGAACUGAGACACGGUCCAGACUCCUACGGGAGGCAGCAGUGGGGAAUAUUGGACAAUGGGGGCAACCCUGAUCCAGCAAUGCCGCGUGUGUGAAGAAGGCCUGAGGGUUGUAAAGCACUUUCGGUGGGGAGGAGGGUUGAUAGGUUAAGAGCUGAUUAACUGGACGUUACCCACAGAAGAAGCACCGGCUAACUCCGUGCCAGCAGCCGCGGUAAUACGGAGGGUGCGAGCGUUAAUCGGAAUUACUGGGCGUAAAGGGUGCGUAGGUGGUUGAUUAAGUUAUCUGUGAAAUUCCUGGGCUUAACCUGGGACGGUCAGAUAAUACUGGUUGACUCGAGUAUGGGAGAGGGUAGUGGAAUUUCCGGUGUAGCGGUGAAAUGCGUAGAGAUCGGAAGGAACACCAGUGGCGAAGGCGGCUACCUGGCCUAAUACUGACACUGAGGCACGAAAGCGUGGGGAGCAAACAGGAUUAGAUACCCUGGUAGUCCACGCUGUAAACGAUGUCAACUAGCUGUUGG